Molecule: long non-coding RNA, 675 nt
Organism: Beta vulgaris subsp. vulgaris (sugar beet)
Lineage: Eukaryota; Viridiplantae; Streptophyta; Magnoliopsida; Caryophyllales; Amaranthaceae
Exons: 2
Source: RefSeq, a predicted model, not a curated record
CAGUGUAUCAUAAUGUAUGAAGAUAAUCAAGGUGUAAAUCUCUAUUGUAGAGAUCUAUGAAAACAACAUCAAAUUAACUGAUUACUCUAUUCCCUUUAAAAUAUGUUUAAUUUAUCAUUGAAGUUUAGUUCUCAAAAAAUAUCAAAGAAUUGUGUAUGAAUAUAACUAAUCAUGAUUCUUUAUAAAGUAAUUACCAUUAUAAAGAUUCCUGUUAAAAUAAAAUGUUAACACUUCUUCUCUACUACUCUAAUCUUCUCUCUCUCCUACUCCUUUUAUUCCCACCAUCUCUCUCUCGACUUAGGGGCUAGCCCCCUCUUUCCUAUCCCCAAUAUCAAUAGUUACAGAAUCUCUGAAGAUCUGAAGAUUGAGGUUGCUCCUGAUAGGAACUCUAACAAUUAAAAUUUCUAUUCGUUCCAUGUAGAGGUAAAAGUAGAGCAACAAAAUUGUGGAAGAGGAAGAAGAUUAUGGAAUAGAGUGGAGAAGAAAGUAUUAUUUUUAUCAUACUUUGUUUGUUUUUUUGUUUUAUGAUGAAUUAUGAAACAAAGAGGAAGAAGAUUAUGGAGCCUUUAACUACAUAAUGCAUAUUAGCAGUUAAUCAUGGGAUUUUCCCACUAAAUAAUGGUUUGUGCUUUUCAAAAAAUACAGUUUUGAUAUUGGAGAAGUUACUGAUGUGAA